UAGAAUGAAGCUCGCUGGAUAGAGCGUUUAGCUGUUAACUAAUUUAUUAUGGGAUCAAGGCCCAUCAUUCUAG
RNAcentral lists this transfer RNA (73 nucleotides) under Crinia signifera. RNAcentral describes it as "tRNA-Asn". It matches the Rfam family "tRNA". From Rfam's summary of the family: Transfer RNA (tRNA) molecules are approximately 80 nucleotides in length. Their secondary structure includes four short double-helical elements and three loops (D, anti-codon, and T loops). The record is from RNAcentral. Lineage: Eukaryota; Metazoa; Chordata; Amphibia; Anura; Myobatrachidae.